AGCCUCCCUAUCCCUUUCCCAUCAGAUCUGAAUACCGAUCUUAUGGUCAAAAAGGAGGGAAAUUAAAAUUUAAGUUGGCCCUAGUAUCUUUGCUGGGACAAAUCCUGCACUGAACUGGGCUGGCUUAAAACAAUU
Molecule: small nucleolar RNA, 135 nt
Organism: Podarcis muralis (Common wall lizard)
Lineage: Eukaryota; Metazoa; Chordata; Lepidosauria; Squamata; Lacertidae
Product: small nucleolar RNA SNORA61
Source: Ensembl